UAAAAUACAAAUUUUAAAUUAUUCAGUGUUACAUUUUUUACCUAUGAAUGUACAUUAUAAAAUGACAAUAAUUUUUAAUCUACGUAGUUUAAUAAUUAUUUUAAUUAAUUUUAAUUUUUACCAUAUAGUAAUGAGUCCUAACACUUCUGGCAUUUCAAAAGAGGAAAGACAGAUACUAAUCGAAAAUUGUAAAGAAACAUUAAAAGACAGCUUUGAUUUUACCGGGACUUAUUAUAAUGACAUGAGUAUUGAUGUUGAAGACAAAGUCCAAACAGUUGCUGAAAAUUUUAAAGAAUUUGAAAAAACAUCAAUACAAAUCAAUACAAGUAUUUUGAUUUCGGCGUUUGAUAAUAAACAUCCAGAUCUUUAUAAAAAUUAAUUUUAAAACUUAGCAGACGAGUAUAUACAAUUUAUUACAAAUAACAAAGAUAUUGAUGAUCCUAUAAGAGAAUACUGCAAAAUUUAAGAUGAUUAGUAGUAAUAUGUCUU
RNAcentral lists this unclassified non-coding RNA (489 nucleotides) under Rhopalosiphum maidis (corn leaf aphid). RNAcentral describes it as "uncharacterized LOC113549256, transcript variant X2". The record is from RNAcentral. Lineage: Eukaryota; Metazoa; Arthropoda; Insecta; Hemiptera; Aphididae.